CCUCUUGAUGAAGAGGAUAUGGUGCAGUACAUCAUCUCAGGGUUAGAUGAAGACUUCAGCCCGAUCGUCUCUGCUCUCUGCACCAAGUCCGAUCCCAUCACGGUUGGGGAGCUGUACUCUCAACUCCUCAACUUUGAAA
Small nucleolar RNA from Oryza rufipogon (brownbeard rice), 139 nucleotides. It matches the Rfam family "Small nucleolar RNA Z247". From Rfam's summary of the family: Z247 is a member of the C/D class of snoRNA which contain the C (UGAUGA) and D (CUGA) box motifs. Most of the members of the box C/D family function in directing site-specific 2'-O-methylation of substrate RNAs. The record is from Rfam. Lineage: Eukaryota; Viridiplantae; Streptophyta; Magnoliopsida; Poales; Poaceae.